This 253-nucleotide ribosomal RNA is filed under the name uncultured prokaryote. Its description in RNAcentral is "partial 16S ribosomal RNA". It matches the Rfam family "Bacterial small subunit ribosomal RNA", at positions 524 to 776 of the family's 1533-position model. The record is from RNAcentral.
UACGGGGGGGGCAAGCGUUGUUCGGAAUUACUGGGCGUAAAGGGCUCGUAGGCGGCCAACUAAGUCAGACGUGAAAUCCCUCGGCUUAACCGGGGAACUGCGUCUGAUACUGGAUGGCUUGAGUUCGGGAGAGGGAUGCGGAAUUCCAGGUGUAGCGGUGAAAUGCGUAGAUAUCUGGAGGAACACCGGUGGCGAAGGCGGCUGGCUAGACCUGUAUUGACGCUGAGGCACGAAAGCGUGGGGAGCGAACAGG